This 627-nucleotide small RNA is filed under the name Pan troglodytes (chimpanzee). RNAcentral's name for it is "processed transcript". Lineage: Eukaryota; Metazoa; Chordata; Mammalia; Primates; Hominidae. The record is from RNAcentral.
AGGGAAGAAAGGACACAGAGGAGGACCAGGUGCCAGAGCCGGAGGGGCAGCUGGAGGAGCUGACACUGGAGGUGGUGGAACAAGCUUCUCCCUACUCCAUGGAUGACAGGGACCCUCGGAAGUUCUUCAUGUCAGGUGAGAGCUGGGGGGUCAGGAUCAGAGGCAUGGGGAGGCCCCAGGAUGCCUUGGCUCAGUGUCCCCAUCCUCAGGCUUCACCGGCUAUGUGCCCCGCGCCCGCUUCCUCUUCGGCUCCAGCUUUCCUGUGCUCACCAACCAGGCACUGCAGGAAUUUGGGCAGAAGCACUCACCAGGCAGUGCCCAGGACCCCAAACAUCUCCCCCCGCUUCCCAGAACAUACCCUCAGAACCUGGGUCUUUUACCUAACUAACUAUGGGGGCUACGUGCCAGGUGAGAAGAGCCCCUGGGGAGGCUUUGGGGACUGGAAUGUUUGUAUGGGUAUGGGGUGGGUUGGGUGGUUUGUGGGGGUUGAAACUAAUAGAUAUGGGAGGGCUCAGAUCAUGUGGUUCAGCUUUAUUAUCAGGCAGAAAAGGAAACCGAGGUAGCUACCCACAGUGGGGAAUUAGGGCCAGAUUUUAGAGGGCUGUUUAGAGGUCUAGCCAACUGGCU